GACGAACGCUGGCGGCGUGCUUAACACAUGCAAGUCGAACGGAAAGGCCCUGCUUGCAGGGUACUCGAGUGGCGAACGGGUGAGUAACACGUGGGUGAUCUGCCCUGCACUUCGGGAUAAGCCUGGGAAACUGGGUCUAAUACCGGAUAGGAGCCAUUUUUAGUGUGAUGGUUGGAAAGUUUUUUCGGUGUAGGAUGAGCUCGCGGCCUAUCAGCUUGUUGGUGGGGUAAUGGCCUACCAAGGCGGCGACGGGUAGCCGGCCUGAGAGGGUGGACGGCCACAUUGGGACUGAGAUACGGCCCAGACUCCUACGGGAGGCAGCAGCGGGGAAUAUUGCACAAUGGGCGCAAGCCUGAUGCAGCGACGCCGCGGGGGGGAUGACGGCCUUCGGGUUGUAAACUCCUUUCGCUAGGGACGAAGCUUUUUGUGACGGUACCUAGAUAAGAAGCACCGGCUAACUACGUG
RNAcentral lists this ribosomal RNA (465 nucleotides) under uncultured bacterium. RNAcentral describes it as "partial 16S ribosomal RNA". It matches the Rfam family "Bacterial small subunit ribosomal RNA", at positions 28 to 507 of the family's 1533-position model. The record is from RNAcentral.